UACGAGUGGUGCAAGCGUUAUUCGGAUUUAUUGGGCGUAAAGGGUGCGUAGACGGUUUAUUAAGUCACUUGUUAAAUUCUCUGGCCUAACUGGAGGCAAGCGGGUGAAACUGGUGAACUAGAGGGUGGAAGAGAGAAGUGGAAUUCUCGGAGUAGCGGUAAAAUGCGUAGAUCUCGAGAGGAACACCAAUGGCGAAGGCAGCUUCUUGGUCCAUACCUGACGUUCAAGUACGAAAGCGUGGGGAGCAAACAGGAUUAG
This 258-nucleotide ribosomal RNA is filed under the name uncultured bacterium. RNAcentral's name for it is "partial 16S ribosomal RNA". It matches the Rfam family "Bacterial small subunit ribosomal RNA", at positions 524 to 781 of the family's 1533-position model. The record is from RNAcentral.